AUGUUUUGGCCGGAGAAUUUAAUCGGAGUUCAAUCUUCAUUUUGGCGGUUGGCCCAUUUAGGAUUGCCAUUGUCUGGACCAUGGGCCAUAGAUGUGAAGAAUUGUACUCAUUCCCUCAAACGAUGCCUCCUUCAAGAACCCCACUACCCUAGGGUUGAAUUUGAGUUGUGCGUGGAAGAGUUUUUGAGUGGGAGAAACAUAUGGUGGAAGGGAUGCGGUUGGAGAGGAAGGGGAGAACUUCAUGUCGGGUGCCUAUUUUCUCAACUUCGAAGCAUAUUCUUCAAGAGUUUAAUUACUAAUUUAAAGGAUUUUCAGAUAUUAUUUGAAUUAUGA
Molecule: ribosomal RNA, 333 nt
Filed under: Triticum aestivum (bread wheat)
Lineage: Eukaryota; Viridiplantae; Streptophyta; Magnoliopsida; Poales; Poaceae
Description: partial small subunit ribosomal RNA
Source: RNAcentral